CAGGUUUUUAUGGUCUGUCCUGUGCUGAGGAGUGUGCGUGUGAAGACCCGUGUGCAUGUGACCCGCAGACAGGAAGCUGCAACAGCACGUCCAACAGAGCGGUUCAGUGUUUGGGGAGGAGGCGACAGAAGGAGGCGUACAGACAUGAACCCUAUCUAACGGAACAAACAUGGCUGAUCAUCACGCUGACGCUGGCCUCUCUGCUGCUGAUCCGACUGCUGGUUCACUUCCUGCGGGCGACUCGCAAAUGGCUUCUCUUCGGUUUUUCCUACACACAAGUUCCUCUGAGCGACGUGAAGGGAGAGGCGCUGACGUACAGCUUUCUGCAGCUUCACUGACAAACACACUAGCAUAUCUGGGAGAAAAGCCCAGCAAACCAGAGGGGUCAAAAGUACACACAUCCUUUACUCAAGUAGAAGU
Long non-coding RNA from Notothenia coriiceps (black rockcod), 420 nucleotides. RefSeq lists it as uncharacterized. NCBI's taxonomy places the organism in Eukaryota, Metazoa, Chordata, Actinopteri, Perciformes, Nototheniidae. The record is from RefSeq and is a predicted model, not a curated record. The transcript has 3 exons.